RNAcentral lists this ribosomal RNA (657 nucleotides) under uncultured Alteromonas sp. RNAcentral's name for it is "bacterial SSU rRNA". It matches the Rfam family "Bacterial small subunit ribosomal RNA", at positions 8 to 661 of the family's 1533-position model. Lineage: Bacteria; Pseudomonadati; Pseudomonadota; Gammaproteobacteria; Alteromonadales; Alteromonadaceae. The record is from RNAcentral.
AGAGUUUGAUCCUGGCUCAGAUUGAACGCUGGCGGCAGGCCUAACACAUGCAAGUCGAACGGUAACAUUUCUAGCUUGCUAGAAGAUGACGAGUGGCGGACGGGUGAGUAAUGCUUGGGAACUUGCCUUUGCGAGGGGGAUAACAGUUGGAAACGACUGCUAAUACCGCAUAAUGUCUUCGGACCAAACGGGGCUUAGGCUCCGGCGCAAAGAGAGGCCCAAGUGAGAUUAGCUAGUUGGUAAGGUAACGGCUUACCAAGGCGACGAUCUCUAGCUGUUCUGAGAGGAAGAUCAGCCACACUGGGACUGAGACACGGCCCAGACUCCUACGGGAGGCAGCAGUGGGGAAUAUUGCACAAUGGGGGAAACCCUGAUGCAGCCAUGCCGCGUGUGUGAAGAAGGCCUUCGGGUUGUAAAGCACUUUCAGUUGUGAGGAAAAGUUAGUAGUUAAUACCUGCUAGCCGUGACGUUAACAACAGAAGAAGCACCGGCUAACUCCGUGCCAGCAGCCGCGGUAAUACGGAGGGUGCGAGCGUUAAUCGGAAUUACUGGGCGUAAAGCGCACGCAGGCGGUUUGUUAAGCUAGAUGUGAAAGCCCCGGGGCUCAACCUGGGAUGGUCAUUUAGAACUGGCAGACUAGAGUCUUGGAGAGGGGGA